UCUUCUUCUCUACAGCAAUUCUGCAAAAUGUUCUGGAAGAUGCAAGAUGGUUUUAACUUAAUCCAAUUGUCCAAUUGAUGAUUAACUACUACCGUUAUUGUUCUUCAUACCGCUAUAAAUAUCUCCAACCGAACAUGAGUUCAAAAUUGGAGUUGGGUUGAUAUGCAACGAAGAUUAGAUAACUGCAACCAGUUCUUUAUCUAGUGGGAGAUAAAGAAGAGAUAUACUACCUAAAGAUAAAAAUUGGGUUCCUUCAUUUUUACCUAAAGAAGUUGAGAAAUUUAAAGACCCAUUUGCUAGAAUCUUUUUUAAAUGAUUGAUAGACUACCAAUACAGGUUGGGUUUUUCCAUAUCCAUUUAUAUCCCUGCUGUUCUUCAUCAUAAUUUUACAUAGCUUUUAAUUUUUAUGAAUCUCUUCUUGUUUUAGUGACUUUAAUUUCAGCUAACUUAAUCAAAUCUUAGUUACCGUGCAGCAUUGUAGUCUCAGUGUUUGUGAAAUUAUCUAUGAGAACAGUUUUUGUUCCUGAUCUUUUAUUGAUGGGCUUUUGUUAUAGGUUCUCUCCGUGAUGUUAGGUAAAUUAGUUCAUCCAGAUAUAAACAAGUAAGGAUAUUGUGUUUGAUAAUGAUAUUGUGAAAGGUUCUAUUUUGGGGUGUGGUUUGAUUUUGUUUUGAUUAGUGUAGACUCCAUUAAAUAAGGAUGCAUUGCAUAGAACGUUGAUUGUGUACAUAUGUUGAUUCAAGCAGGAGCUAAUGUAUGUAUAAAUGACAAUUUUUUUUGAUGUUUUAUUUUACUAAGAUUUUGAGUGUAUAUGAUAUUAACCAGAUGCAAAGGUUCUACUAGUAAGGGAUCUUAUUGAAGCUAACAAUGAGAGGGAGAAGAAUAUAACUGAAGGAACACCUUACUCGCUUCCAUCCCGAUCGCAUUCUGGUGUCUAGGUUGAUGACAAUAUGUCCGAGGUAAUCAUUUCCUCCCAUUGGAAACUAGUAAAUUCACAAUAUAUGCAGAUAUAAUAGGUUCUUUAUACAUUUUGUUUAUUAGCUAUGAUCGAGUUCAGUCAUAGAUAACUUAAAGCAAAGUAGAAGAAGGCAUUGCUUACCUUAACCUGGAAUGCAGUCAUGUAACCUGUGAGUAAGAUAUCAGAACUUGCAGGUCACAAAUUCUAAACGUGACUGCUUAUAUAGUGGUUACUAUUCAGCUUAGAUCUCGUAGAACUUGCAUUGUUUUAUACAGCAAUUGAUCCGCGUACCCAAUUUAUUUUAUACAAUCUUUUCAUUAUGGUACCCUGUUAAUUUUAUAGACCGUCUGAAAUAUAAUACAUAUUUAAAUGAAUGCGUCGUCGCGGAUUAGGAAAUAUUUAAACCUACCAAUUCUUAGUAAAGCAACUCUACUGGAGGACAAGGUUUAGAAGCAACACAACUACAACAGUACAUUGUACAUGUGCUCUUUACCCAUCUCUUUAUAUCUCUCAUUUUCAAUUUUUUUUAUGUAUAUUGUCGUGGGCUUCUUACAUUAACUAGAUGCCAAAGUUGUACAACAGAAUGGUUCACUAUGUUGCUGGGAUGGCAGUAAACGUGAUAAGUUCACUGAUAUUUAUCACUGUUGAAAACCGAGGAUUAUUUUCAUACACGGUGCGAGGUCAAAGAUUAUGGAGUGCUGGACCUGUUCUUUAUAGAUAUGGUUACCAUGUAGGCUGCAGUUUUAUUGGGAACUUAGAUCUCUGUGAUCCUCAGAUUAUGAAACCCUAUCAAGGUUCACUGGUGUUUCCUGCAAUGUUACUACACAGUCCUCAUGCUGAAAGUGAAGAAGCACCAUGCAGGUUGCAGAUCGUAUAAUUACUCAGCAUCUCAAGGAUCCGUAUUGGAGCAAUAUCAGCAAUGGGUCUAGCCACUGUUACAGUGUUUUGUUUCUUUUGGAUUCGCUUAUUGGCAAAGAAAGAAAGAGCAGCAAAAAGAUAAAUGAAGUCAAGAAACAAACAACAAUGGAUGAACGAACUAAAGUGGUCCUAUUCCAUGGCGAUCUUCCAUAUUCUUCGAGUGAUAUAGUAGAAAAGCUCGAGUCACUUGAUGUUGAGGAUGUGCUUGGAUCUGGAGGAUUUGGUACCGUAUACACGAUGAUGAUGAAUGAUCGUACUAGAUUUGUUGUUAAAGGGAAUCGAUAAUUGUCUAGCAUUAAACAUGUAAACCUUGUCAAUUUGCGAGGUUAUUGCCAGUUUCCUUGCUUGUGAUAUAUGAUUAUCUAAUAUUGGGAAAAUUAGAUCAUUUCCUGCAUGAAACCUUUCAAGGGAAUUAAACAACCCUUGAAGUGGAAUACUCGGUUAAGGAUGACUCUUGAUUCUGCUCGAGGACUGGCAUACUUACGCCAUGAUUGUUGUCCAGGGAUUUUUCACCGCAACAUUAACAACCAAUACCCUCGUUGAUCAAAACUGGAGCCACAUAUCUCUGAUUUUGGUCUUGUCAGCGUUUGGCAGAUGAGGACACCCAUGUAACCACUGUAGUUGCAGGCACUUUCAGUUACUUGGCACCAGGUGUCUUUAGGAGGUGCACAACAAUUUUUUUGGAGACGCAUUAAAUGCAGAAUGCAUAGAUAUAAGUGAUGCAGUAAAUUGGUGCUGGAAGCUAGAGAUAAAGGAUGUAUUGAUAGAGACAUGCUUGAAAGGAAUAAUUGACUUUUAUGCUGGAAAUGUCAACACCAUCUCAUAGCCUUACUCAGAUGUCCUUGUCGAUACUGCAGUGAAACUUUAAGUCUUUCAAUUCAUGAAACUAUAUGUUCUUUAAUAGAAACUGAAAUAAGCCAGAUGAUUGCGCGGCUAAGUUAAGUAGGAAAUGUCAUGUGUCUUUAGAUUGGUCAGAUAGACCUCCAGAUGACAUUUCUAAUUUUUUAGUAUGCUCUUAAAACUUCUUUGCAUCAAAAAUUAAUAAAGUCAGUA
This is an RNA transcript of Papaver somniferum (opium poppy), 2927 nucleotides long. It is a transcript of the gene named LRR receptor-like serine/threonine-protein kinase FEI 1, with no coding region annotated. Lineage: Eukaryota; Viridiplantae; Streptophyta; Magnoliopsida; Ranunculales; Papaveraceae. The transcript is spliced from 5 exons. The record is from RefSeq and is a predicted model, not a curated record.